AUGUCCCCUGAUUGGGAGGAUUUAUAUCCUCUUGCCUCUGUUCAUAAGCUGGUCAAAGAGCUAUCAGACCACAACCCCUUGUUGUUGGACAGUGGGAGGGCUUCUUCUAGAGCACCAGGUAACAGGUGCUUUAAAUUUGAUAAUGCAUGGCUUAACAAUCUAGAUUUCCUCCCUCUGGUAUCUGAGAUUUGGUCGAGGCCGGUGUACACUAUCAACCCCAUUGACUCCUUAAACAUUAAGCUGAAAAGGUUUAAGAAAUUCUUUAAAGGAUGGGGUUCUAACCUUUUUGGUCACCAUAAAAGAAAAAGGCUCAUCAAGAUCGAGCUUCAGGAGCUUGAAAAGCUGGAAGAGGCUGAUGGGCUGUGUGGGGAAGCUUAUACUAGGAAGCUGGAGAUCCUAGUAGAGCUCAGUGACAUGUAUGUUGCAGAAGAGCUUCAUUGGCACCAGUUUUCUAACGAGAGGUGGUUAUUGAAAGGAGACAAUAACACUGAUUUUUUUCAUAAAGUAGCUACCGGGCGACGUAGGAAAAACUCCAUGAUUUCCCUAGAAUGUGGGUCUGUAACUAUAGAAGGGACCAAAAACCUACUUGCCCAUGCUACUGACUAUUAUAAAGCCCUAUUUGGACAGGCACCUGGCAAUCUUUGCCAGAUUGAUGCAACAUUAUGGUCUCAGGAUGAGAAGAUUACUCCUGAUGACAGUGAUGACUUGACUCGACCCCUUUCUCUUGAUGAGAUCAAAAAGGCUUUGUUU
RNAcentral lists this ribosomal RNA (750 nucleotides) under Triticum aestivum (bread wheat). RNAcentral's name for it is "partial small subunit ribosomal RNA". Lineage: Eukaryota; Viridiplantae; Streptophyta; Magnoliopsida; Poales; Poaceae. The record is from RNAcentral.